GAUGAAGAACGUAGCGAAAUGCGAUAAGUAAUGUGAAUUGCAGAAUUCAGUGAAUCAUCGAAUCUUUGAACGCACAUUGCGCCCGCCAGUAUUCUGGCGGGCAUGCCUGUCCGAGCGUCAUUUCAACCCUCGAACCCCUCCGGGGGGUCGGCGUUGGGGAUCGGCCCUUUCACCGGGUGCCGGCCCCUAAAUACAGUGGCGGUCUCGCCGCAGCCUCUCAUGCGCAGUAGUUUGCACACUCGCACCGGGAGCGCGGCGCGUCCUCGUCCGUAAAACACCCCAAACUUCUGAAAUGUUGACCUCGGAUCAGGUAGGAAUACCCGCUGAACUUAAGCAUAUCAAAAGCGGAGGA
RNAcentral lists this unclassified non-coding RNA (352 nucleotides) under soil metagenome. RNAcentral's name for it is "partial contains 5.8S ribosomal RNA, internal transcribed spacer 2, and large subunit ribosomal RNA". The stretch from base 1 to 120 matches the Rfam family "5.8S ribosomal RNA", at positions 35 to 154 of the family's 154-position model. The record is from RNAcentral.